GUGAACCUGCGGSAAGGAUCAUUG
Molecule: ribosomal RNA, 24 nt
Filed under: Boerhavia coccinea
Lineage: Eukaryota; Viridiplantae; Streptophyta; Magnoliopsida; Caryophyllales; Nyctaginaceae
Description: partial 18S ribosomal RNA
Source: RNAcentral